This 402-nucleotide ribosomal RNA is filed under the name Verrucomicrobiota bacterium. RNAcentral describes it as "Verrucomicrobia bacterium partial 16S ribosomal RNA". It matches the Rfam family "Bacterial small subunit ribosomal RNA", at positions 355 to 776 of the family's 1533-position model. The record is from RNAcentral. Lineage: Bacteria; Pseudomonadati; Verrucomicrobiota.
UGGGGAAUUUUGCACAAUGGGGGAAACCCUGAUGCAGCGACGCCGCGUGAUUUAGAAGGCCUUCGGGUUGUAAAAAUCUUUUUUAUGGGAUGAAAAUGACAGUACCAUAAGAAUAAGGUCCGGCUAAAUACGUGCCAGCAGCCGCGGUAAUACGUAUGGACCGAGCGUUGUCCGGAAUCAUUGGGCGUAAAGGGUACGUAGGCGGCCCAGUAAGUUAGAAGUGAAAUAAUAUAGCUCAACUAUAUAAAGCUUUUAAAACUGCUAGGCUUGAGAGAUGGAAGGGAAAGUGGAAUUCCUAGUGUAGCGGUGAAAUGCGCAGAUAUUAGGAAGAAUACCGGUGGCGGAGGCGGCUUUCUGGUCAUCAUCUGACGCUGAGGUACGAAAGCGUGGGUAGCAAACAGG